Molecule: ribosomal RNA, 181 nt
Filed under: uncultured eukaryote
Lineage: Eukaryota
Description: partial 18S ribosomal RNA
Rfam family: Eukaryotic small subunit ribosomal RNA
Source: RNAcentral
UCGUAGGGUGACUCGUCUGGUUAACUCCGAUAACGAACGAGAUCCCGACCUCUCAUUGUCUGCAUGAUCGCUUUGUAGGUUCGACUCAUUGGUUCGCCAUUGAUGAAGGGCUGAGAUUGUUGUAGAAAAGUCAGAGGGACGAUGCUACGUCUAUAGUGCAUGGAAGAGCGGGCCAAUAGCA